Molecule: microRNA precursor, 84 nt
Organism: Lupinus angustifolius (narrow-leaved blue lupine)
Lineage: Eukaryota; Viridiplantae; Streptophyta; Magnoliopsida; Fabales; Fabaceae
Rfam family: mir-156 microRNA precursor family
About the family: This family represents the plant microRNA (miRNA) precursor mir-156. Animal miRNAs are transcribed as ~70nt precursors and subsequently processed by the Dicer enzyme to give a ~22nt product. In plants the precursor sequences may be longer, and the carpel factory (caf) enzyme appears to be involved in processing.
Source: Rfam
UUGACAGAAGAGAGUGAGCACAUGCUUUGGUGAUUGUAUGAAGACAUACAUUUGCGGGUGCGUGCUCACUUUUCUUUCUGUCAU